RNAcentral lists this ribosomal RNA (169 nucleotides) under uncultured bacterium. RNAcentral's name for it is "partial 16S ribosomal RNA". It matches the Rfam family "Bacterial small subunit ribosomal RNA", at positions 338 to 524 of the family's 1533-position model. The record is from RNAcentral.
CCUACGGGAGGCAGCAGUCGGGAAUAUUGGACAAUGGGGGCAACCCUGAUCCAGCAAUACCGCGUGUGUGAAGAAGGCCUGCGGGUUGUAAAGCACUUUUAGUAGGGAAGAUAAUGACGUUACCUACAGAAAAAGCACCGGCUAACUCCGUGCCAGCAGCCGCGGUAAU